CAGCAGCCGCGGUAAUUCGGAGGGUGCAAGCGUUGUUCGGAAUUAUUGGGCGUAAAGCGCGUGUAGGCGGUUUUUUAAGUCUGAUGUGAAAGCCCUGGGCUCAACCUGGGAAGUGCAUUGGAUACUGGAAGACUUGAGUACGGGAGAGGGUAGUGGAAUUCCGAGUGUAGGAGUGAAAUCCGUAGAUAUUCGGAGGAACACCGGUGGCGAAGGCGGCUACCUGGACCGAUACUGACGCUGAGACGCGAAAGCGUGGGGAGCAAACAGGAUUAGAUACCCUGGUAGUCCACGCCGUAAACGAUGAGUACUAGGUGUCGCGGGUAUUGACCCCUGCGGUGCCGCAGCUAACGCAUUAAGUACUCCGCCUGGGAAGUACGGUCGCAAGACUAAAACUCAAAGGAAUUGACGGGG
This 411-nucleotide ribosomal RNA is filed under the name uncultured bacterium. Its description in RNAcentral is "bacterial SSU rRNA". It matches the Rfam family "Bacterial small subunit ribosomal RNA", at positions 509 to 918 of the family's 1533-position model. The record is from RNAcentral.